Molecule: ribosomal RNA, 408 nt
Filed under: uncultured bacterium
Lineage: Bacteria
Description: bacterial SSU rRNA
Rfam family: Bacterial small subunit ribosomal RNA
Source: RNAcentral
UGGGGAAUAUUGCACAAUGGGCGCAAGCCUGAUGCAGCGACGCCGCGUGAGGGAUGACGGCCUUCGGGUUGUAAACCUCUUUCAGUAGGGAAGAAGCCGCAGGGUGACGGUACCUGCAGAAUAAGCACCGGCCAACUACGUGCCAGCAGCCGCGGUAAUACGUAGGGGGCAAGCGUUGUCCGGAUUUAUUGGGCGUAAAGAGCGUGUAGGCGGUUUGGUAGGUCCGCUGUGAAAACUCGAGGCUCAACCUCGAGACGCCGGUGGAAACCAUCAGGCUAGAGUCCGGAAGAGGAGAGUGGAAUUCCUGGUGUAGCGGUGAAAUGCGCAGAUAUCAGGAAGAACACCCGUGGCUAAGGCGGCUCUCUAGUACGGUACUGACGCUGAGACGCGAAAGCGUGGGGAGCGAAC